AGAAAAUUAGUUAAAAAAUAAUAUUAAUUUGUCAAAUUAAAGUUACUCUAGUAUUUUCUG
Molecule: transfer RNA, 60 nt
Filed under: Pseudoniphargus mateusorum
Lineage: Eukaryota; Metazoa; Arthropoda; Malacostraca; Amphipoda; Allocrangonyctidae
Description: tRNA-Asp
Source: RNAcentral